GCUGUUCCUGCCGAUGCUGCUGUUCAUGCCGUCCCCCCAGUGCCUAGCAUCACCGGCAACAAGUUCAGCGCUGUCCGACAAGGUGUCCUGCAGGGACAACCUCCGUCGACCUGUCAUCGAACUUCACUUGUGUGUCUUGUGUCGGGUGAGGGAGAGGGACGAUGUGCAUACGGGGUUGCAGUGCAGAGGCGCCGGUGGUUUCAAGUUGCAGGGCCGGGAGAAAUUUCACGGCAACCAAGAGUAACAAUAUUUUUGGUUACUUGGGAAUACGAUGAUGUUCUGGUGACGUGGAACAUGCUGAGAUUUGGACUUCAAUCCUUGAUUGUGCACAUGUAUGCAUGCUUCACAACCAUGCUGCAAACAGAUUUUCAUUUUCGAAGAAAGGAUUUCCGAAACGAGUAGAAGACUAAUAACUUCUACGACAUCAAAGAUCUCUGAGAUUUUAGAUUGCAGGGCCGCCGCCGUUGCUGAACACAAACGGGGCUCGAAGCAGGCCAAACUCCGAGGUGGACCGGGCAACGGAUCGUGGAGAG
Aegilops tauschii subsp. strangulata is the source of this 533-nucleotide long non-coding RNA. RefSeq lists it as uncharacterized. Lineage: Eukaryota; Viridiplantae; Streptophyta; Magnoliopsida; Poales; Poaceae. The record is from RefSeq and is a predicted model, not a curated record.